UCCGGCGUGUUGCUGCUUGUUUAUCCGGCGCUUGACACGGCGGUGCACCGACUUCGCGGGGGUUUCUGUGUUGUUUAUCUUCGUUCCCGAGCGAGAGGGUGGUUGGGGGGUGAUGCCUCGAAGGAGCGCCGUUCGGUAAAGCACGACUCCAAAGUUGACGUUCCUCAUGCUGCUCAGUGAGGGGGGAGCGCGGCGGCAGCCAGCAGCCGGCUCGGGAGCCGCGGUCGGAGCUGGUGUUGUUCUCCUACGUAUCAGCAUGCACGGGCACAUCGGCUCCCAUACAAAACAGCUGUCAAGCCGAGAUGCAAAUGUCAGAGCAAAAGAAACCGGGAAAACGAGGAGAACUGGAAGCGCAGAGCAGGUUAACCCUGCCGGGGUGCCAGCGGAGCGCGGCCCAUAGCCAUUGUCUUCCUUCCCCACAGAGACCCAGGGGGAGGAUGCUGACUGCAAGUAAAGGGGCGAAUCCACUCCUUCCUCCCCCUCCCCGGUCUAAAUAGCGGUGUCCCCGCAGCGUUUGCCCCAGGGUGUCCUCCCCAGGGCCCUGCCCAGCGUCCCGUCGGGACGCGCUCGCCGCAGGAUCCCCCGGUGCUUUGGUGGUAUGGCCACAGGCAGGCGGGCAGCCUUCUCCGAACGCCCCUUGUCCUCCCGUCCCGGUGCUCUGCCCGCAGGUUUCAGGCGUUGCCACUCUGGCGUUGCAGCACCGGCUCCUAUCGAGGCAGUUCCUAUCGCGGAGCGGCUCCCGCUGAGCCGUUCAUUUUGGUUUGCGGAGUUGUGACACCCUCUGUAUCAGCCUGGGGGAUUGACGUGAACUUCAGCCUGCCCUCAUCCGUUUCCCUCCGGGGACAUGAUUCAGACUUUUCGUCUCCAUUUUGUUGCAGCUUUACCUGGCACAAAUCUCAGCCCUGACGUGAGCAAAUGGCAUUUUUUGAAGGUGUUUGAGCCGGACCCCAGCAAGUUGUCCAUUUUGUUUUGUCUCUCCUGGUGUCAUUAUGUUUCCCAUGCAGUAUGACUGUAAUGCUGUUUUAGCUCCUUAUGAAAUGCGAUUUGAUGUUCUCUUAUGUGUGUUUGGAGUUACAGGUGAAAAAAAAGAUUCAGGCCUUCUUAUAAAAAAAGCCAUUUUUUAUUGCUGUUUACAUUCUGUGCUUCAUAACCCAAGUAUUUCCAUGGAGCUAAAGCAGACAUAAGUCUUUAUAGUCAUUGUGCUGCUCCUUCAUCGGGGAGAAAGGCAUCUGGUUAUCGAGCCCUCACCAUGCUGAUGUCUGAGUGUUCAGCGGUUGCUUGUGAAUGUUUCCUUUCCAAGCACUUGAAAGGGGGGAAAGUCUGAUGGGAGAAUUAUCUGACCUGCUCAGAACUCUUGGGAAAUCCGUGAUAGGUUGCUAGAAGAGCUGGAAGCCACGUCUCCAUGUGAUGGCAUAACCACAAGCUGUUCAUCCUUCCUCUAUGCUCAGUGCUCGAAAGACUGCAACGAACAGGCUGCCCAGGGUGGUGGUGGGGUCACCAUCCCUGGAGGUGCUCCAAAACUGUGUGGAUAUGACACUUAGGGACGUGGUUAUGGGCACAGAGGGGAUGGGUUGAUGGUUGAACUAGAUGGUCUUUGAGAUCUUCUCCAAACUUACUGAUACAUGACUCUAUGAAACAGCAUGUAGCAGGCUUCUCCUGACGUCUCCGUGGACUGUUCCAGGGAAAGAGGCAGGUCCUGGUGCCCUGAAGGGUUGGUGAAUUGGGUAGUGUGUGGGCAUGCAAACAUUGGAUUGGAUUGACUUGGUCCGUUGGAUGGAUGACAAUCACAAGUUGAGUCUUUUCCAAAGGUACCAUAGCCAAUAUUUUUUGAGUGGGCAUAAAAGGAAAACAGGGCAAAAGCAGACCCCCAAGCAAUUAUUGUUCCACUCACAGUUUUGGUAGGGAGAGGUGGUGCCAUCUUUGCCAGGCAAAUGUCAAACCACAAAAACAUUUCUAGGUUAAAUUCAACAUCUUGAAUUCUGACGGGACUGUGAAAUGGGCAGCCCAUGAAGAUCACAGGAUACAAGUAUGAGAAGCACAUGAUUGGAGCAUGAAGCAGUCAGAGGCUGCUUGAAUACAGGCUGUGAGUGCGGGUGUUGGGGCCCGUGGUCUGAGGAUCUGAAAGGCACAACUAUUCAGCCUAUUACAGGGUUUCCCUGUCAGCUGUGCUGAGCACUUAGUGGUUACAGCUGAGGCUUUUUACUCUUGUAUCAUACCCAGUCAUCUUGGAAGCUGCUGAAUAAGAUCGGUAUUGCAAGAUAACCCUCUUCUUCCCAUAAACGAUGGUCAUGCGCCUUCAGAUGAGGAUGUUGUUCUGGUCAGAUGUACUAUCAGCUGGGUCUUCUGGUGCUUUGGGAAUGGAAAAGUUCUUCUGAAGUCAGUGAAACGAACAAACAAAAAAAACCAACGCAACGAAUGAGUCUGUGAGCUGGUAUCUCCACCAGUUGUGGAGUGUUGACCUAGAAAACAUCCAUCCAUCCUUCUGUAAAUCACAGUGUUUUACUGCGGUUUCUACUACUGGAGCACGCUUUUUGGCCAAAAACCCAUCUUUUUAUAUUUGAGCUUUCAUGUAGCACUUCCCUCCUCUUAAACAAUUUUCAGCGAUACAGGUCUUUAUGUUUCAAGCGCCGUUGCUAAUGGAGGCAGCCCUCGGAAGGCACACACUCCAGCCACCACAAAAUGAGUGUCUGACAUGAGAUGUUAGUGCUUAUUAUGCCACAGCUUUGGCAUGCUACCCGCUUGUGAAGGCAGCUUCAAGGAUGCGAUCCAGAUCUAGCAGAUAUGCCAUAGCCUGUUGCCGUCUGGUUGUCUGAUGCACGUGAUUCUCUGACACGGAGUGGUUCCUGGCAGCCCUGCUGCCUGGGGGUACUGGGUAAGCUGUCAGCUAGCCCAGAGCUUGUCUCUGUUUUACAUGCGUAAAUGCAGCGUUGGGAAGAACCAGCUCCCUUGAGCACACACAAAUGAACCCUGUACUUGUAGCGUAUAUUGUAUUCUGAGGAUAUUGAGGUUUGCAGUCACCUUGCUUAAAGCAAGAGAGCACUCUGAGGUAGGUGCAGCUGUAGGCAGUUGUGGCACUAACACAUAUGAUGCCUGCAUUCUAGUGUCGCUUCAACUGCCUGAGUUUGGGAGCUCUUUUCGCUGACUCUUGGGAAGCUGGAAGGGAUGGGAAAACCCAGGCUGUGCUCACUGGAACCGGUGCAUUGCAGCUGUGCCUCAGACUGAGCUGAAAGGGAUGUAAAGCAGGAGUGGGUGCUGCCUUCACAUAUGGAAAUGCCACAUCUCCUGGCAUGCCCAGCCUGGCUCCGUGCCCCUGCUCCACCCCUGGUCCCUGCCAGGUGGAAGGUGUGCAGUAUCUGUAUAGCUGUGAUCUGCUUGCUGCUCUUUCCUUAGGUGGGGGCCUGAUGUACCUGGAAGCAGUGCCCAACUUCAGGCAGCUCUGUGGCUGGAAAUUCCUCUUUCCCCAGCUGGGUUGCCCCUGUUGGUGCCUCAUUUCUAUCUUUGUUAGCAGGAUGCUCAGCUUUAAAGCAUUCGAGGGGAGCGUUCGCAGAGUGCAAAGUCUUAAGAGCUUUGUCUCCUUGAUCCUCCUUGCAGAGACAGACUGCUCCUUUCCAACCCGUGCACUGUGAACCAGUCGGCUACAAAGCCUCGCAAUUUCCAAAGAACCGGAGCCAAAGCAGAGGGGCUCUGGCAGCUUCUCAGGGUGACCUUCGGAGCCACUGCUGGCUCCCACCUUGGCUCAGCAGCCCUGGAGGCUCCCCCGGAGGUUCUUGAGUGCUGAAUUGUUGCCAGGACCACAGCAGAGCCUCUGCGCAGCAGCUGAUCACACUCAGAAACUCCGCACCUUUUUAUGGCAGCAGAGGGAACGAGAAGGCUUAACGAGUGCUGUUGGCUCCUCCAGAAAAGGAAGGAGGGAUUUAUGUUGUUCUCCAGGCUCUUAAAUAAAAACAGUAAAAAGCCAGAAAUGUUCUCUGACUUGUGAGAAGUAAAUGUGUAAACUUGCUGGAAAUGGGGGAAGCGUUUGUAUGCUGUGUUGCACCUACCUGAGCAGCUUCUAGAGAGGAGGAAAUGCUUAAAGGAAGUGGCAAAGAAGGACAGAUCCCCACAGGAGUAGUGAUUGCAUUGCUGUGGGAACACGGGACAUUGCCUGCUCUGUUUCUGCAUGCAUACAUUGAAUUUCCGAGGUCUAUUCAACACUGCUGGCGAAGAUAUAUUCAGAAGAAAGACAGCUACACGAAUAACUUAGCUCUCCUGAGAAGACAUCAUUUGGGCAUCAGGAUCAGUGCCUGUUUGUUUGUUGCUUCAGAAAGAAGCAAAACCAAAAAAUGAUUCUUCCCCUCCAGAGAGUCAUAAAAGUUGCUGGAAAGAGCAUAUGUCUGUAAAGAGUGUGUGUGUUUGCACUGUAUCGAUCUGAAUUUGCCUGAGAUUUAAAUGACCGCAUUUGUUUGAUUGCUGUCUGCUGUGAGGCAAAGCAGCUGGAAUUGCACAUGCCUAAGGAAGAGAAAAUGCAUCUAACCAGGAGCGCUGUGAGAACUCGGAGAACUGAGUGACCAGCCAAAUUCAGUUUUAGUUCUGACUGCUCAGGAACAACACAGCAAGCAGCUUCCAGAAUCCCCUCAAAAUGCAGGAAGGAAAUGUCACACAUCAUGCCUUCAGCAUGGCCAGCUGUUGAUACGCUUCAAAGAAAUGUGUGUGGUGGUUAGCUGUACAAGUCUGGCUCUGUCUGGGCUGCCCACGUUUGGAAACCUGGCUCAGCAUCUGCCUGCAUGGUUCACAAGGCGUUGGUGGUACCUGAGGCACUGUGCCCCUCCAGCACCUUGCAGGAUGUGCUCUGUAACAGAUUCAGCAGGAACAGGGAGAGCCAAGACUGUAGGAAAAGCAAUCAUCAGCAAGUGGUUAGGGUCUGCUAUGAGUCUGGAGUCUGGAGUAACUGUGGCAUUUCAGUGAUGUGUCUGUAAUUGCUUUUUUAAUUAUCAUAGAUGUCCAUUGCUUUUGUUAUCUGUAAAGAAAAGGAAGCAGAGAAGAGCAAAUAAUAUACCUGAGACAGCAGCGCUUGCUGAAUUCAUAGAGUGAGCUCUGAUGCCACUUUUAGAUCUCAUCUGUGACCCAGCACUGACUGAGCCCAGCGGGCAUGUGCUGUAGCAAGGCUGGAAAGCAAAGCUUUCCUCUCUGUCUCACUCCUCUUCGAGUAGUGGUCAAACCUCAAGUCUCAUCGUUCCAUAUUUCUUACUGUGAUGAUGUCGGGCCGACUAGAAGUGUCUGCAGCUGCAAUUCAGUACAUGAUAGGGAACUCCACUGGGCGAUUGAUCUAUUCUGCCCUUCCUGUGAAGGAAGCCAACCUCGUUCACUCCUCCUGUUCUUAUCAGUAAACUAAUGUCUAGGUGGAUUUUAAGACUGAAACACAGAAGGAGGAUGGACUCUUCCUCUCAUUUAUAAUGGAUGAGGCUCUGAGCGGCCUGGUUGAGCUGUAAGCAUUCCCAUUCAUUGCAAGGGAGUUGGACUAGGUGGCCUUUAAGGGUCUCUUCCAACUCAAGCGAUUCUAUGAUUCUGUGAUGUGAUCACCCUAAAGCACCAUAGUUAGAACCAUUGCUCUCCUCCCACUCCUGUUAUAGGUGCCUAGAGGGAAGGAUCCUAUUUACACAGUGCCCAGGAAGACUGCAGAAAUCUGCUCAGCGUUUGAGUAUUUCAUCUGCUAUCAAGGUCAUUUGCCUAUUUUUACCCAUGCACAUGCUACACAAAAAUAAGAAAGAUGGGUUCUCAGAGGCAGACAGCUCUGAGUGAAUGCUCUUCCCAUCACCAGUCUCUUUCUUCAACAUUUAAGUAACGGAGGCGACAGCAAAGACCAAGUUACGCCAGGUGAAGAUGGGAUAUAGAAGUGCUCUCCAUUGUUUUGCAAUGAAGGGAGCUCUGCAGUGCCUCUGACUGGCAGCAAUACCAGCAGCUUGUUUCCUAGCACACCCUUAGCAGUGUCCCUUCUGCUGGUGCUUCUCAAAGGCAUGCUGCAACAAGGCCUUCUGCCCGCAUCUGUGCUUGAUACCUUCAUAACAAAAGUACAAAGCAGCACCCCUAGGGAGAGGCUUCUUUGUGAGAGUUCUGCUUUACUUCUAAAUCAGAACUGUGAGGUUUCAUUUAAAAUACAGUCUGCUGGCAGUAAUGGGGUUGCUUUGGGGUUUUUGCCUCAGAUACGAUAUCCAGCUUUGUCGUUCUUCGAUUAGCAUUAUGAGGCAUCCUUGGAAUUAACGGCUUAAUCUCUGUGUUUUGUCAGGAGGCGUAAUCUCCCUCCUCCCUUAAUGUCACAUACCACAUAUGAUGUAGCAUGUUACUAAUUACUGCGUACAGGCGCAGGCAGCCCCAUUCCAUGCAUUCUCAUUUCUGUUUGUUGCUAAUUAGGAAUAGUCAUGCUGCUGGUGGGCUCUGGUGCUCCAUCUGUAUUGUCUGUAGGGUAGGCAUCUGCCAGAGGAUGGUGGUUAUUUUGAAUUAGAUGUGAACAUCCAUCUCUUCUUUACUAUUUUUCCCAAUGUUACAAGCUUCCCCAGCUUUAAAAAUGCGAGAUACGGAGAAUUAGGGAUAAAUGAUCUUGCUGUCAUUCAUAACCCAAUGCAAAGAAAAGCUGGGAACACCAGGCCGUGCAGUACAAUCCUAUUUAGCUUGAAAGGAUAGCUAGGAAAUAGGAAGCAAGUGUGGGAAUACAUGAUGAAUUCCUAAAGGCGACCUGCAAAGUGCUUUAAAAAUUGAACUGUCCCUUUAGCAAUAUGCAAACAGCAAUAGGAAAGGGAGCAUUUAGUCACAUACUUUUUCUUUUAAACCUCUGAAGUUUUCUGAAAUU
Molecule: long non-coding RNA, 6823 nt
Organism: Tympanuchus pallidicinctus (lesser prairie-chicken)
Lineage: Eukaryota; Metazoa; Chordata; Aves; Galliformes; Phasianidae
Exons: 2
Source: RefSeq, a predicted model, not a curated record